This 408-nucleotide ribosomal RNA is filed under the name Sulfolobus sp. A20-N-F6. RNAcentral describes it as "partial 23S ribosomal RNA". It matches the Rfam family "Bacterial large subunit ribosomal RNA", at positions 1 to 463 of the family's 2925-position model. The record is from RNAcentral. Lineage: Archaea; Thermoproteati; Thermoproteota; Thermoprotei; Sulfolobales; Sulfolobaceae.
AAUCAAGCGUCUUAAGGGCAUUUGGUGGAUGCCUUGGCGCGCAGAGGCGAUGAAGGACGUGGCACGCUGCGAUAAGCCAUGGGGAGCUGUGAGCAAGCUUUGAUCCGUGGAUUUCCGAAUGGGGAAACCCAACCCGCAAGGGUUAUCGUUACCUGAAUACAUAGGGUAACGAAGCGAACCCGGGGAACUGAAACAUCUCAGUACCCGGAGGAAAGGACAUCAACCGAGACUCCGUUAGUAGUGGCGAGCGAACGCGGACCAGGCCAAUGCCUGGAGUCUUCUAACUGGAACCGUCUGGAAAGUCGGGCCUUAGCGGGUGAUAGCCCCGUACAGGUGUUGAAGAUUUCAGGAUACGAGUAGGGCGGGACACGUGAAAUCCUGUCUGAACAUGGGGGGGCCACCCUCCAA